This 39-nucleotide transfer RNA is filed under the name Lycostomus sp. UPOL LF0340. Its description in RNAcentral is "partial tRNA-Ser". Lineage: Eukaryota; Metazoa; Arthropoda; Insecta; Coleoptera; Lycidae. The record is from RNAcentral.
UUAAAAAAGCUUCUAACUUUUUAAAGAGCAUUAAAUUGU